GGUCACACAUAAGGAGGUUAGCAGUGGGCAAGUGAGCAAAGCAUCAUCUAUAUUUACAGCCGAUCCCCAUUGCUCGCAUUACCGCCUGAGCUCUGCCUCCUGUCAGAUCAGCGGCAGCAUCAGGUUCUCUCAGGAACGAACUCUAUUGUGAACUGCUCAUGUGAGGGAUCUAGGUUUCACGCUCCUUAUGAGAAUCUAACACCUGAUGAUCUGUCACUGUCUCCCAUCACCCCUAGAUGGGACAGUCUAGUUGCAGGAAAACAAGCUCAGGGCUUCCACUGAUUCUACAUUAUGAUGAGUUGUAUACUUAUUUUAUAUUAUAAUAAAAUAUAUUAUUACAAUGUAAUAAUAAUAGAAAUAAAAUGCACAAUACAUGUAAUGUGCUUGAAUAAUCCCAAAACCACCCCCUCUCCUGGUCCAUGGAAAAACUGUCUUCCAUGAAAGUGGUCCCUGGUGCCAAAAAGGUUAGGGACCACUGUUACAGAGUAUCAGGUCCUCAAGAUGCUAAAAUCUAUAUGACAUUUUUAACAUGUGACAUUAUCAUCAUCAUCAUCAUCAUCAUCACUGAUGAUACUAUUUACCAGGGCAUGGUUUGAAUUGGUGACUUUGGUGCAGUUCAUUAUUGGCAGCCAAAUGCUUUAUCCAUACCUUCAUAUUGAAGAAUUUGUUAUCAGGAAACUACCAGUCCUGCUUUACAGGAAGUCUGUUAUCAGAUAUCAGAUGGCAAGUUCCCCAUGUCUUCAGAUGUUCAAACAAUAUUGUGGAUGGUCUAGAAAGAGUUUAAGACAUGCUGUUAAAUGUAGGGCUAGAUAAUUCUCUGAUUCUUUGAUGUAGUCUGGAAAGAAACAAUCCAUUGUCCAGUUAAUAAAUAUUUAGUGUUUUCAUUUUUAAGACACUCACAAUCCACAAAUGUCCCUAACAAUUUAUUAUUUUUAAAGAAAAUGACUUUUUAUUCCUUGCUAGUGAAAAAUGUACAAUUUAUAUGCUGCACUGAGAAAAAUAACAGAUAUACUUUCUUCCAUUCAUUUUCAUCCCAAACAUAUAAAAAAUAAUCCAUUGAUUGUUCCUUGCAUUGCAUAUCUUAUUAAAAGAUAUUUCCUACAUGCAACUAAUAAGACAUGCUGACUGUUGUCAGCUCUAAAUUUAUGUAAAGAUUUUUUAUUUUUGUUAAAAUGUUUGAAAUUUGCUUUUUGCUCCACACCUCACCUGUUUUUGAUAAAUCUGUGCUAAUAAGUACAUAGGAGGUAAUAAAUAAUUGAGUUGUGAGAAA
Molecule: long non-coding RNA, 1270 nt
Filed under: Homo sapiens (human)
Lineage: Eukaryota; Metazoa; Chordata; Mammalia; Primates; Hominidae
Description: non-protein coding lnc-HACD2-2:2
Source: RNAcentral